Molecule: long non-coding RNA, 1024 nt
Organism: Astatotilapia calliptera (eastern happy)
Lineage: Eukaryota; Metazoa; Chordata; Actinopteri; Cichliformes; Cichlidae
Source: Ensembl
AAAGUUUGCUCGCCCUUUGUUUCUCUCAGCAAAUAAAUAGGCGAUCUCACUCUCCUCUAAUCACACCUCUCUUCAACAAUCCUCCAGUGCUCACGUGCAGCCAGGAAAGAAAGCAAGUUUCAAAAUGAAAUUUAUCGUGCUUGCUGCCUGCAUCCUUGGGAUGGCCAUCUCUGCUCCUCUGCAGAUAUUUGAGGAGUUUGACAUCCAUUACGCUCCACCUCAGGCGGCCCAGGUUAUCCCUGCUGGAGUCCCACUUGACAAUCUGGAAGUUUUGCUCCCUGUUGAUGCCCAAAGACACCCUCUUGGAGGACCUUUCUACCCCUUUGGCUUCAACCUGCCUAAUCCAGCUGCAGCUGACCCAGCUGCUCCAGUUGCCCCAGCUGCUCCAGCUGCUCCAGCUGCCCCAGCUGCCCCUGUUGCUCUUGCUGAUCCUGCCAUUCCUGUGGAACCUCUGAAUCCUGUCGUCGUUGCACCUCCCCCACGUGGCAAAGAUGAUGAAGAUGAAGAUGACUAAAACUACUUAGUCAGCAGGAAAAAAACACUCUUGGCACACUCAGGUGACCAGAGGUGUAAGACUAUCUGCUUACUGUGGUGAAAAAUCGCCAGCCAGCAAUGCUAUUUUCUGUGGUGCUAUGCAUUUUUUGAAACGGUGCUUUGUUUGGAAAAAGAAGAAUAAAGUCAAAAAGCAUGACAUGCCUCUUAUGAAAAAAAAAUUGAUGGUUUGCAGUUAAAUAUGACCAAAAGAAAAUAUCAAAAUAAAUGUAGCAGUAUAUUGUUUCCUCUCUACAUGCAACAUGAAAUGUUUCAUUUCUGUGCUUCAUAAUAAAUGAAACAGCUCAUUCAUCUAUUGUUUCUGGUUCUUUGCUUAAGAUAUAUUUCAAAUAAUAAAUAUCUGAUACUCAGUCCAUGAAUUAUAUGCAGCAUUUUGCAGAUUAUUACUGACUUGCUUUUUUGACUAUCCACAAAUAGCUACAGCAGGCAAUUAUAUUUAUUAUAAAUAAUAAAGGCUGUUCUCUGAUUUCAC